UACCUCUGGCUCCUUUGCAUUUAAUCGAGAAAAUCUUUCGCCUUUUACUAAAGAUUUCCGUGCAAAGGAGCAAUUAUGAGUAUUUACCAAUUUUUGGAAUCCCCUCGAAAGAGCGGGAUA
Molecule: small nuclear RNA, 120 nt
Filed under: Teladorsagia circumcincta
Lineage: Eukaryota; Metazoa; Nematoda; Chromadorea; Rhabditida; Trichostrongylidae
Description: U5 spliceosomal RNA
Rfam family: U5 spliceosomal RNA
About the family: U5 RNA is a component of both types of known spliceosome. The precise function of this molecule is unknown, though it is known that the 5' loop is required for splice site selection and p220 binding, and that both the 3' stem-loop and the Sm site are important for Sm protein binding and cap methylation.
Source: RNAcentral